This 514-nucleotide ribosomal RNA is filed under the name Staphylococcus aureus. Its description in RNAcentral is "bacterial SSU rRNA". It matches the Rfam family "Bacterial small subunit ribosomal RNA", at positions 350 to 855 of the family's 1533-position model. Lineage: Bacteria; Bacillati; Bacillota; Bacilli; Caryophanales; Staphylococcaceae. The record is from RNAcentral.
AGCAGUAGGGAAUCUUCCGCAAUGGGCGAAAGCCUGACGGAGCAACGCCGCGUGAGUGAUGAAGGUCUUCGGAUCGUAAAACUCUGUUAUUAGGGAAGAACAUAUGUGUAAGUAACUGUGCACAUCUUGACGGUACCUAAUCAGAAAGCCACGGCUAACUACGUGCCAGCAGCCGCGGUAAUACGUAGGUGGCAAGCGUUAUCCGGAAUUAUUGGGCGUAAAGCGCGCGUAGGCGGUUUUUUAAGUCUGAUGUGAAAGCCCACGGCUCAACCGUGGAGGGUCAUUGGAAACUGGAAAACUUGAGUGCAGAAGAGGAAAGUGGAAUUCCAUGUGUAGCGGUGAAAUGCGCAGAGAUAUGGAGGAACACCAGUGGCGAAGGCGACUUUCUGGUCUGUAACUGACGCUGAUGUGCGAAAGCGUGGGGAUCAAACAGGAUUAGAUACCCUGGUAGUCCACGCCGUAAACGAUGAGUGCUAAGUGUUAGGGGGUUUCCGCCCCUUAGUGCUGCAGCUAA